UAAAGUAUUGCACCUGGCUGCCAGACUGAUGAGUGAUCCCACAGGAAUGGAGGUGAAAGGGCUUUGUAAACUGGGCGGCCCCGAAACCGAGAUUGCAGGCUCUUUGGGCGUAGGAACUGUCUCCUCCAUGUGACUGUGGGUUUUCUGAGGGUGUCUCCCCCAACAGAUCAGGAGCAUUCCGGACGGUAGAAGGAAGAACGGAAAUGCAAGUCAGACUGAAGAUUUUAACCAAUGUCCUGUGUGGUGUGGGAAGGGGACCCUGACACUGCUGUGGAAGAGGCCAAUCUCUAAACCAUUGAGGCCACAAAGUCUGACAAAUCUUCCUCUUAAAUGGAUGCAUAUGGGCCCAGCUGAACCUGUCCACUCUUCUUUCACGUCCUUUCCAGCCCACAGUGCCCACCCAUCGAGCUCAGAAGGCCUGAUCUCCGGGGUCCUUCCCUGGCCCACCUUCCUGAACACAGAGGCCCUCUCAGGGGACGCCAGACGUGCCACAACAGAGCAGGUGAUUGUUAGCUGGUCAUGGGGGCUGCGUGGGUUUGAACCCAGGCUCACCAUCUAUGGAGAUCUUGCCUAAGUCACCUCUCUGUGCCCAUUUCCUCGCCUAUAAAAUGGGGAUGUAAUACCCAUCUCACAGGGCUAUUGCAAGAUCAAAUGAGUCCAUUCACAUAUUAUUGAGCAUAAAGUGUGUAGAACAGGGUCUGGCAGACUGGCGACAUGAGCUGCUAGCCACGGUCCCCCCACUCCUCUCCCCUGUCCUCAUUCCAACCUGUUAACUGUCACCUCCUCCAAGAAGCCCGCCCUGACCACAUCUUAAGUAGCCUGCCCCUUCUCCACCUCCCCACCUCUUUCAUUUUUUUGUCCCUUCCAGACCACCCCAGUUCUCCCCUUGACCCUCAGGCUGUCCUCAGUCCUCCCAGACUGCCCCCCCAUCUUGCCCACAGCCCCUCUCCCCACCCCCCAAUAGCACACAUCAGACUGGCU
Molecule: long non-coding RNA, 981 nt
Organism: Balaenoptera ricei (Rice's whale)
Lineage: Eukaryota; Metazoa; Chordata; Mammalia; Artiodactyla; Balaenopteridae
Exons: 3
Source: RefSeq, a predicted model, not a curated record